Molecule: regulatory RNA element, 160 nt
Organism: Ardenticatena maritima
Lineage: Bacteria; Bacillati; Chloroflexota; Ardenticatenia; Ardenticatenales; Ardenticatenaceae
Rfam family: FMN riboswitch aptamer (RFN element)
About the family: The RFN element is a highly conserved domain that is found frequently in the 5'-untranslated regions of prokaryotic mRNAs that encode for flavin mononucleotide (FMN) biosynthesis and transport proteins.
Source: Rfam
UGGCACCUUCGGGGCAGGGUGAGCCCGCACCGUGAUGUGCGUGGCAAUUCCCGACCGGCGGUAUGUUCGGCGAUGACCGAACGAGCCCGCGACCCGCGCAAGCGGUGGAUCCGGUGAGAGGCCGGAGCCGACGGUAUAGUCCGGAUGGGAGAAGGUGGAG